CUGAAUAGAUUUAUCAACUCUAGCGCUUCUGAUUUGUACGAACGAUUAAUAUAUAAUAAAAA
This 62-nucleotide small RNA is filed under the name Staphylococcus aureus. RNAcentral's name for it is "HMPRFS0000_2375". The record is from RNAcentral. Lineage: Bacteria; Bacillati; Bacillota; Bacilli; Caryophanales; Staphylococcaceae.